Molecule: ribosomal RNA, 478 nt
Filed under: uncultured bacterium
Lineage: Bacteria
Description: partial 16S ribosomal RNA
Rfam family: Bacterial small subunit ribosomal RNA
Source: RNAcentral
GAUGAACGCUGGCGGCGUGCCUAACACGUGCAAGUCGAACGGAGUCCAGCCUUUAAGACCUUCGGGUCAAAGAGGGGAAGACUGAGUGGCGGACGGGUGAGUAACACGUGGGCAACCUGGCUCAUAGAGGGGGAUAACAGAGAGAAAUUUCUGCUAAUACCGCAUAAGCACACACUGCCGCAUGGCAGAGGGUGAAAAGAGAAUCGCUAUGAGAUGGACCCGCGUCUGAUUAGCCAGUUGGCAGGGUAAGAGCCUACCAAAGCGACGAUCAGUAGCCGAUCGGAGAGGAUGAACGGCCACAUUGGGACUGAGACACGGCCCAAACUCCUACGGGAGGCAGCAGUGGGGGAUAUUGCACAAUGGGGGGAAACCUGAUGCAGCGACGCCGCGUGAGUGAAGAAGUAUUUCGGUAUGUAAAGCUCUAUCAGCAGGGAAGAUAAUGACAGUACCUGAAUAAGAAGCCCCGGCUAACUACGUG